This is a long non-coding RNA of Telopea speciosissima, 88 nucleotides long. RefSeq lists it as uncharacterized. The transcript is spliced from 3 exons. NCBI's taxonomy places the organism in Eukaryota, Viridiplantae, Streptophyta, Magnoliopsida, Proteales, Proteaceae. The record is from RefSeq and is a predicted model, not a curated record.
GCCUUGCAUAAAAUUUCACUAUAGAGCAAAGGUUAGAGCAAGUAUACCUUCAAGCUGCCACUACAAGCGCAAGGGGUCUCCAGGUUCU